AUUGCAUAAGCUCAAAAAAAAGUUAAGCCAAACGGAUCCUAAAAUACAUUCAUAUAUGAAGCCAGAGGGAGUACGUGAAAGCCCAAAUCACCGCCUUGAACGUUUUUUGGAAAUAGGCAAGAGCUUUCAUCCUACCCAUACAUAAUCCUUAUGAUGAUCACAACUCUUUUUCAAAGUCAAAGAAAUACUACAAUUUAAUAAUUUUCAAUUUUUUAACAAGUCCCAAGAAAUUUCCCUCACUUUUCUCAACGUUCACAACACCACCAACCAACUCCACCCAAAAUCCUUAUCAUAUGACAGUUUGGUAAUUCAAAAACUCAGCUAUAAAUAGAGCUGAAUCUCACUCCAAUUCAAACAUCCAACAAACACAUAAACAUAUCUAAAAAUUCAUUUAUAUCAUGGCACUUUCAAAGAAUUUUAUCAUCGUAUUUGGAAUUGUCUUUACUUUUCUCCUCUACAUUUCAUCAAAUGCAACGUUAGCUUCACGUCAAUUGUAUCAAUUGUCUGAGGAAAAAAGAAAUUGCAAUACUGCUACUCAAACUCAAGUUGUCGGAUGUGGCAGCCCGACUAGAUCGUCGCCUGUCAAGAGUUCGCCGCAUUCCAAGCUUCCGCCGAGCGAGCGUACCCCUUGCAAAGGAUGUCAGUAAAACGAUUCGAAGCUUUCGUUAACUUGAUAUGGAUGAUGCUUGAAAUGUGAAGAUGAAUGAAGCUUCUAUCUAUAUAUGUUACUAAUUUAUUAAGACGUACGUACUAAUAAUAUGGCAUGCAAUGUAACAUGCUAGCUUUCUGAAUAAUUAGUGUAUCUUAUUGAAAAGAUUGCGAUUGCAUAAUUUAGUAUCUUAUUGAAAUGAUUGGCCUUUUCUAUUUCA
Molecule: long non-coding RNA, 869 nt
Organism: Trifolium pratense (red clover)
Lineage: Eukaryota; Viridiplantae; Streptophyta; Magnoliopsida; Fabales; Fabaceae
Exons: 2
Source: RefSeq, a predicted model, not a curated record